GAUAGAUUGCAUGUGAUUUGAUCACUUUAUGCCUCUUGCGCCUGUUUCAGAGGAAAAUUAAGGCUCUGUUGUUCAGUAUUUGAGAUGAUUUGGUGUCUCGUUGGUUGUGGAUAUCAACAUUUUUGUGUUUCUUUGUCACUGCUUACUUGGUAUGAACAGAGAUUGUCAGUUUGUUGAUUAUACAUUUAACAGCUUCAGAAUCACUGAUGCAAAUGUUGGAACCAAAAAGGACUAAUGUCCUGUUCGAGUAUAUAUAUAUAUAUAACAAAUGUUCUCCCAAUAAAGGUCAUAGCUUAAACAGUUAGGGCUAAGGGAUGGAAGUCCAAGUAAACUGCCCCAAGUCUUUGAGAUGGAAUUUCCUCUGCCCUACUACUGUCUUGUCUUUGCUUGAGAAAGUCCACCCUUAUCAUUUCUCACCUUUAUGAUCUUUACCCAGAAAGUUGAAUCUCUCCCUUUUCCUCUCUGUCUUAUUUUUUCCAACUGCAAGUGGCUUCUAAUCUAAAGCCAAGUGGGGUUCUAUCUUUCUCUCUCUUUUACACACACAGGAGACUGGGGUAGGGUUCCUGGUGGUUGGUGUACAUAAGCUCUUUAUUUUGGUACCGGACUUGGCCAUGCACAGAAUUGGUGGCAUGAGUACUUGCUGGGAGACCAAGAAGGAUAAGAAAGUAAACAAGGAAACUGCAUUCAUAAAGAAUGGAAGCAAAUUACUGGAGAAGCUUGUUGACAUUUGUGAUGGAAAAUGCAAUUCUAUUCGUAGUUUCUCUGCCACAGAGCUCAAGAAAGCAACAAACAACUAUGAUCCGCAGAAAAUAUUGACCGGCGAUUCAGGCUAUAAAUUGUACAAGGGUUUUUUGCAAGGCAGACCUGUUUCUGUUAAGAAAUUUAAGGAUGACGAUGAACAGUAUGAAUAUUGUUUCAAUGACAUUGUUUAUGCAUCAAAAAUGAGUGUACAUAAAAGUUUUAUGAAGUUGUUAGGCUGCUGCUUGGAGGCUCGGAUUCCUAUUCUAGUUUUCGAAUAUGUUGGAGAUUGGACACUUUCUGAUUUUCUAUGGGGCUCUGAGGAAGCCCGUUGUCAGCCUUUGCUAUGGAUUCCAAGGUCAAAAAUUGCAAUGGAUAUGGCUAAUGCAGUUGCUUUUCUUCAUGCUGCUUUUUCCAAACCCAUUGUUUUUAGAAAUAUCAAACCCUUGAACAUCUUACUGGAUGACAACCAUGAGGCCAAAUUGUCAGAUUUCUCGAUCUCCAUAUCGAUUCCUAAAGGUGAAUCUCAUGUACGGGAUUCAGUUGCAGGGGCAACAGGACUCAUCGCGCCCGAGUACCUGACCACUGGUAAUUUCAAUGAGAAGCAAGAUGUUUUCAACUUUGGUGUAUUCCUACUUGUGCUUUUGUCUGGACAGAUGGUGGUUGAUUUUUCUCGUCCUGAAAAGGAAAUUCUCUUACAAGAUCAUGUGAAAAAAUGCAUUGAAGAUGAUAGGUUUAACAAAGUCAUAGAUUCCACUAUCAUUGCCGAGGGGACUUGGCCAGGAAAAGAGCAGCAAUUGCAGGCUUAUACAGCACUUUCCCUGAGAUGCAUCUCUGAAUUAGCAGAAGAUAGACCAACAAUGAUUGAUGUUUCAAAGGAACUCAGGAAAAUAUAUUGGUCUGCAAUUUCUUGCCGUCAGCAAUAAGGAUGAUCAUGUGUACCUUUUCCAUUGACUGAUACUACCGAUUACUUCUUUCUUCGAGGCUACUCCAUCAGGAGCUACUGUUAAAUGUAAAAGGCUAAUACAGAAGAAAAUAACAGAACAACAAGUCAAGAACUCCAAGAAUUAAGAGUAGGCAGCAGCAUCAUGCUGUUAUCAUAAAGGAAAGAGCAAAGAAAAGGAAAGAUACAGGCUCUGUGUGUGUGUCAUUCUGAAAUGUUUCCAAGUGUUAUUUGGUUUACAUGUUACAAGGGGAGCACAAUGCAUGAAACUCAAUAGAGAAAAGGAAGACUACUGCAGGAGUUGCUGAUAGCCUGAGAUAUUCACUGUAUAGAUUGAUUCAGAAUGAGGCAAAGAGUUGUUUGGUGAGACUUGUUUGGGGAGACUCUGAGAUAUGAACAUACUCUCAAGUGGAGUUUUUUUUUUACUUGAAAUUUAUACAAACUCACACUUAUGUGUUGUGCUAUUAAUUAACUUGUAAUAGUUUAGAUGUUAA
RNA transcript from Populus trichocarpa (black cottonwood), 2175 nucleotides. It is a transcript of the gene named non-functional pseudokinase ZED1, with no coding region annotated. The transcript is spliced from 3 exons. The record is from RefSeq and is a predicted model, not a curated record. Lineage: Eukaryota; Viridiplantae; Streptophyta; Magnoliopsida; Malpighiales; Salicaceae.